UCAAAAAGCCAUUCUCGAUGACGACAUUGUUAUCGCCGACGAAAAGGUUGCAAACGUGUAUACGGCCCCCUGAUAGGACUGCGACCUAACUAUGACCUAACUAUAUCGGUCGAAAAGUAGCUAGUCUCUGACAAAGGUGCUCUUGAGUUCGCUAAGCCAUUUAUAUGCGAUGAAGGUGGAACGGAUUUAUCUCCAAUCUCCUUUCGCCCGUUCACUCAGUACUCAGUAGCAGCUCCCGUCUUCGCAAUUCGCGAGGGUUGAAAAUGGAUUUCAGACAAUAUGAACAAUAAUAACUCGACAUUCUCAAGUUCACCAAUUGAACAAGUCCAGCAUAUCGUCGCAAAGUAGUACACUCAAGUGGACUCCACCUAAUGGACGGAUACAGAGAUAGUAUCCAGAAAGAUCUUGGGAUUACAUUCGUCAAACCAAAUAUCUUUAGCAGUCGCAAAAGAGGUGACGGGGCUCAAAGGAAGUAAACAAGUCAUCCUUUGAAGCUAAGCACUUUUCAUCUUUUGUAGGAAAAUCCCCUUCUCUAGUCUUGGGAAAUUGAGCGACCCAUCCACAUAAGCACAAGAAUUUUUUUCCCGAGCAAAUCAUUCUUCAUCGCAUAAGCCCAUGACAAGUCAUUUCCAGAUGCUUCUUUCAGAAGAGCACGGGAAAAACCUAUGGAAUCCAUUGUACUAAGAACUAAGACCCGAAAGAUCAUCUAAGGACUGAAAAUCGGGACUCAAAACUAGUCAAGAAGGCUUAAGCUUAACUCAAGCAAUCACUCAAGAGAAGCCGGAUUCGUAAAAGAAAGAAGAAGAAGUUCCAGCCAAUUUCGAUUUUGAAUGAUAAGGAAGCGCUUGAUCCGGGUCUUAGAAGGGCAUCGAGAUCAAGGAGAUCGUGAGAUCAAAGUGGACGUUCCCGAUUUCCAUGGCCGAUUGCAUCCUUGCAUCCUGAGGACUUUCUUGAUUGGCUAAGUAGCGUAGAGAAGUUCUUUGAUUGGAAAGAACUACCCGAGGUGUGCGAAGAUGAAAUUCCUGAGCAAAAAUAAGGAACGCUUUCUCGACGCUGUAGAUCAUGCAUGACUGACUUGUCCAAAGGAGACGGGAAGUUCUUUUCCCCUUUUGUUAGGCUUUGCUGGGAUGAUGUCUCGUUCUUCGUCACGCUGCCCAUGACUGGAUAGGGGUAGCACCAUAGACCAUCUCUUUGGCUUAGAGUUGUUUCAUGAGCGAGGGGGCUAAGCGCAUACACGCUUCCUUCGAAACCUGACUCUAUCUUCGAUUACCAAAAAGAAAGCGAAGGAGAGCCACUUUUUUUUAUAGUAUAGAGUAGGACUGAAAUUCCAAGCGCUCCUAGCUCAGAAACCACACACAGACAAACACAUGGAGGCCCAUAAAACCCAUAAAUAAUAGACUAACAAAUAUACGUGACAUACACUUCCUGUGUGAAGUUUUUAUCUUAAUGAAUCAAAGCUGUUUGUAAAAUGCUACUUUUCUUUCUGCAACAAGUAAGAGUACUUUUUCUUAUCAUACACCCUUAUGAAUGAAUGAAUCAAAAAAAUGUGAUUCCACAAAUAGUCCCCCUUCUCUCUUUCUUCAAAGACAGAGGUACACAUCACAGGAAAAAACCCCAAAAACAGAAAGAGAAAGAAGUAAGUAAAAAAAUAGGAAAUACUGCUAGAUGGCAACCUAACCGAGUACGUCAUAAUUGAGAAAGGUAAGCCCCACUCCACUGAAUUGGAGAAUUCCAGAACACGUAUCAGAGAGUGCUCCAAUGGCAGUGGGGGCACAAUUGAGAGAAUUUCGACGAUUAGAAAAGAAAAAGAAGAAAGUUAGUGUUCAAUGAGCUCGAGAUAGCUGCCUGAUGAGAGGAAAGGACGCCGGGUACAGUCUUUCUUUGGUUCCAGCUCCCCGAUUACACCAAAGCACACCAGUCAACACUGUACUAUAGCUUUUACACCUGUGAGUUGGCAAAAUAAUAUCGUAUGUUAAUAAAAGACCUGAGUUGGCGAAAUCAAAAGAAAAGCUAACGCUAACUAAGUGUUUAGUUACCAUGCCCAAAAGCCCCGUGCCUUUCUUGGUUGGAUAAACAAAACCAACCGGUGAUUUCUGACAAGUCUCUCUUUUUUUUGGUAUACUGCUCUGCGAGCAGAGUGAAUGAAUAGAAAUCUUUCCGAAUAUCAUGAAUAUCCAUCGCCCCUUGUCUCCAUCUUUCAUUCGUUCUAUGAUUCUCCUUUCUACCCUUCUUUUUACUACCUGUCUCUUGUCUCAUUUGAUUGGCUUUGAUCCCUACCUUAUUAUGGAGAGGGUCAAAGGUCCUUUUUUCCUCCAAGCCUUACAUUCUCUUUUUAGGCUCUUUGGUUUUGAAGUGCCUAUCUGCCUUCUUCUUUCGCUCCUUGCUUUGGUUGGCGGUUGCAGCAGCUUGCACAUGGAUGAUAAUUCCACUGGAGGAAGGGGAUUCAGUUUGACUGAUUUAUUUUCUGAUUUAUUUGGAAGCAGUUCCCCUACAAAUUCCAAAGUCGGUCUCAACCAACCAGCCCCGGACUCUCCCAACCCUGGUGACCCCGCAGAGCCUCCUAUUGCUGAGCCUUAUCAUCUGUUACAGGAGGAUGGAGAGAGGCUAAGGGAGCUCAAUGAGCGCUUUUCCUUCUAUACUUUCGGGUGUCCCCUGCCCGAGCAUAUUUCCUCCGAUAUUCUCGAGGCUCAAUUCCAAACGGAACUAAAGAUAAAGGAAGCCCUUCGUUCAGACAGAGUGCAAGACGCGUCUCUUUUUGAGAAAAGGCACCAGAUUAGGGGGGAACUCUUCUAUCCGUUUGGGAAGCCAUUAUCCUUGGACACUUACUUAGACCACCUAUCUCAAAUAGAAAACUAUGGGACCCACCGCAGCCUGCCUUAUAAAAGGGUUUUGAAAGCGAUUGCUCAGCAGGACUUAGCGUUGGUCUUUGACUCAAUCAAAAGAAAGAGAUACUGGUAGAGCUCUUCUUUGUCAUCUUUGUCAGUGGCAUUCUCCCUUCUAUCUAUCUGAAUUAUGGAACUUUCUCACCGAGCUGCAGAACUAACAAGUUUAUUAAAAAGUUGAAUUAGUAACUUUUACACAAAUUUUCAAGUGGAUGAAAUCGGUCGAGUGGUCUCAGUUGGAGAUGGGAUUGCACGUGUUUAUGGAUUGAACGAGAUUCAAGCUGGGGAAAAGGAAUAGCCUUGAAUCUUAAGAAUGAGAAUGUAGGGAUUGUUGUCUUUGGUAGUGAUACUGCUAUUAAAGAAGGAGAUCUUGUCAAGCGCACUGGAUCUAUUAUGGAUGUUCCUGCGGGAAAGGCUAUGCUAGGGCAUGUGGUCGAUGGCUUGGGAGUACCUAUUAAUGGAAGGGGGGCUCUAAGCGAUCACGAGUGAAGACGUGUGAAAGUGAAAGCCCCUGGGAUUAUUGAACGUAAAUCAGUGCAUGAGCCUAUGCAAACAGGUUUAAAAGCGGUAGAUAGCCUGGUUCCUAUAGGUCGUGGUCAACGAGAACUUAUAAUUGGGGACCGACAAACUGGAAAAACAGCUAUUGCUAUCGAUACCAUAUUAAACCAAAAGCAACUGAACUCAAGGGCCACCUCUGAGAGUGAGACAUUGUAUUAUGUCUAUGUAGCGAUUGGACAGAAACGCUCAACUGUGGCACAAUUAGUUCAAAUUCUUUCAGAAGCGAAUGCUUUGGAAUAUUCUAUUCUUGUAGCAGCCACCGCUUCGGAUCCUGCUCCUCUACAAUUUUUGGCCCCAUAUUCUGGGUGUGCCAUGGGGAAAUAUUUCCAUGAUAAUGGAAUGCACGCAUUAAUAAUCUAUGAUGAUCUUAGUAAACAGGCGGUAGCAUAUCGACAAAUGUCAUUAUUGUUACGCCGACCACCAGGUCGUGAGGCUUUCCCAGGGGAUGUUUUCUAUUGUCAUUCCCUUCUCUUAGAAAGAGCGGCUAAACGAUCGGACCAGACAGGCGCAGGUAGCUUAACCGCCUUACCCGUCAUUGAAACAUAAGCUGGAGACGUAUCGGCCUAUAUUCCCACCAAUGUGAUCCCCAUUACUGAUGGACAAAUCUAUUUGGAAACAGAGCUCUUUUAUCGCAGAAUUAGACCUGCUAUUAACGUCGGCUUAUCUGUCAGUCAUGUAGGGUCUGCCGCUCAGUUGAAAACUAUGAAACAAGUCUGCGGUAGUUCAAAAUUGAAAUUGGCACAAUAUCGUGAGUGGCCGCCCUUGCUCAAUUUGGCUUAGACCUUGAUGCUGCGACUCAGGCAUUACUCAAUAGAGGUGCAAGGCUGACAGAAGUACCGAAACAACCACAAUAUGUACCACUGCCAAUUUAAAAACAAAUUCUAGUCAUUUAUGCAGCUGUCAAUGGAUUCUGUGAUCGAAUGCCACUAGACAGAAUUUCUCAAUAUGAGAGAGCCAUUCCAAAUAGUGUCAAACUAGAAUUACUACAAUCCUUUUUAGAAAAAGGUGGCUUAACUAACGAAAGAAAGAUGGAACCAGAUACAUUCUUAAAAGAAAGUGCUUUAGCUUUUAUUUAAAUUGUAUACAAUACAAGGAAGGCAUCAUUUUGGAGUAACAACUCCAAAAGGGAGAGGGGUUUCCCCCUGUCCCGUAGGAGGCUGAGCACAAAUCAAUUUAUCGUUUUAGGUUUUGUUUUCCUAUUGGUGUCACAUGGAGCAUUGGUAAGGGUGAUGUGAUGGUGGGUUUUCUUGAAAGUAAGAAGUGAAAAUGACAUUUUCUUAUCUUUCUUAAAAGUUCAUCACACUAAUAUUUCACCACAAUCUCCGGUUCUUCUUAGUAAGGGUCCAUCCCAGGCUUAUUACUCUGAAGGACUCCUGGUUGGAACCCAGGCGCCCCCCCGAGACCGACUAGUUUGGUCCAAUAGGAAAAGUGAGGUUUCGUACCUCUUGGCGUGGUCUAUUUU
This 4902-nucleotide long non-coding RNA is filed under the name Capsicum annuum. Its description in RNAcentral is "long non-coding RNA (CANN_LNC013050)". The record is from RNAcentral. Lineage: Eukaryota; Viridiplantae; Streptophyta; Magnoliopsida; Solanales; Solanaceae.